AUACGUAGGGUGCAAGCGUUAAUCGGAAUUACUGGGCGUAAAGCGUGCGCAGGCGGUUUUGUAAGACAGAGGGGAAAUCCCCGGGCUCAACCUGGGAACUGCCUUUGUGACUGCAAGGCUAGAGUACGGCAGAGGGGGAUGGAAUUCCGCGUGUAGCAGUGAAAUGCGUAGAUAUGCGAAGGAACACCGAUGGCGAAGGCAAUCCCCUGGGCCUGUACUGACGCUCAUGCACGAAAGCGUGGGGAGCAAACAGGAUUAGAUACCCUGGUAGUCCACGCCCUAAACGAUGUCAACUGGUUGUUGGGUCUUCAUUGACUCAGUAACGAAGCUAACGCGUGAAGUGGACCGCCUGGGGAGUACGGCCGCAAGGUUGAAACGCAAAGGAAUUGACGGGG
Molecule: ribosomal RNA, 395 nt
Filed under: uncultured bacterium
Lineage: Bacteria
Description: partial 16S ribosomal RNA
Rfam family: Bacterial small subunit ribosomal RNA
Source: RNAcentral